GACGAACGCUGGCGGCGUGCUUAACACAUGCAAGUCGAGCGGUAAGGCCCUUUCGGGGGUACGACGAGCGGCGAACGGGUGAGUAACACGUGGGUGACCUGCCCUCAGCUCUGGGAUAAGCCUGGGAAACCGGGUCUAAUACCGGAUAUGACUCCAUGACGCAUGUUGUGGGGUGGAAAGCCUUGUGCGGCUGAGGAUGGGCCCGCGGCCUAUCAGCUUGUUGGUGGGGUGAUGGCCCUACCAAGGCGACGACGGGUAGCCGGCCUGAGAGGGCGACCGGCCACACUGGGACUGAGACACGGCCCAGACUCCUACGGGAGGCAGC
This 325-nucleotide ribosomal RNA is filed under the name uncultured bacterium. Its description in RNAcentral is "bacterial SSU rRNA". It matches the Rfam family "Bacterial small subunit ribosomal RNA", at positions 28 to 352 of the family's 1533-position model. The record is from RNAcentral.